RNAcentral lists this ribosomal RNA (501 nucleotides) under uncultured bacterium. Its description in RNAcentral is "partial 16S ribosomal RNA". It matches the Rfam family "Bacterial small subunit ribosomal RNA", at positions 30 to 523 of the family's 1533-position model. The record is from RNAcentral.
AUUGAACGCUGGCGGCAGGCUUAACACAUGCAAGUCGAGCGGGGGAAGGUAGCUUGCUACCGGACCUAGCGGCGGACGGGUGAGUAAUGCUUAGGAAUCUGCCUAUUAGUGGGGGACAACAUCUCGAAAGGGAUGCUAAUACCGCAUACGUCCUACGUGAGAAAGCAGUGGAUCUUCGGACCUUGCGCCAAUAGAUGAGCCUAAGUCGGAUUAGCUAGUUGGUGGGGUAAAGGCCCACCAAGUCGACGAUUUGUAGCGGGGCUGAGAGGAUGAUCCGCCACACUGGGACUGAGACACGGCCCAGACUCCUACGGGAGGCAGCAGUGGGGAAUAUUAGACAAUGGGGGGAACCCUGAUCCAGCCAUGCCGCGUGUGUGAAGAAGGCCUUAUGGUUGUAAAGCACUUUAAGCGAGGAGGAGGCUACUCUAGUUAAUACCUAGGGAUAGUGGACGUUACUCGCAGAAUAAGCACCGGCUAACUCUGUGCCAGCCGCCGCGGUAA